AUUGAACGCUGGCGGCAUGCCUUACACAUGCAAGUCGAACGGCAGCACGGGGCAACCUGGUGGCGAGUGGCGAACGGGUGAGUAAUGCAUCGGAACGUACCUUUCAGUGGGGGAUAACGUAGCGAAAGUUACGCUAAUACCGCAUAUUCUGUGAGCAGGAAAGCAGGGGAUCGCAAGACCUUGCGCUGAUUGAGCGGCCGAUGUCAGAUUAACUAGUUGGUGAGGUAAAGGCUCACCAAGGCGACGAUCUGUAGCGGGUCUGAGAGGAUGAUCCGCCACACUGGAACUGAGACACGGUCCAGACUCCUACGGGAGGAAGCAGUGGGGAAUUUUGGACAAUGGGGGCAACCCUGAUCCAGCCAUGCCGCGUGAGUGAAGAAGGCCUUCGGGUUGUAAAGCUCUUUCGGCCGGGAAGAAAUCGCACGGGCUAAUACCCUGUGUGGAUGACGGUACCGGAAUAAGAAGCACCGGCUAACUACGUGCCAGCAGCCGCCGUAA
This 498-nucleotide ribosomal RNA is filed under the name uncultured bacterium. RNAcentral's name for it is "partial 16S ribosomal RNA". It matches the Rfam family "Bacterial small subunit ribosomal RNA", at positions 30 to 523 of the family's 1533-position model. The record is from RNAcentral.